GUUUAUGAUAGAUAUUGCGUUUGGUAUGUUAUGAAUGCCUGUGCGCCAUUCGCCCAUAAUAUACCGAAGUAGCCGCAAUACGUUAGCGAUGUAACUAUCAGUGCGACUUUCUGUUGUGAUAUUAUAAACCGGUUCUACAUGAAUUCAUGCAAAAAUAACGCAUCAAAAGCAAAYCUUAUUAUCAAUUAGGACAUCGUAAAGUAAAGCAGAGUAUAUGAUUUAGACUUACCAUACACUGAACCUUUAACUUAAAUAUCGCAAAUUUGAAUGUACAUUUUUCAAGCUAGUAAAUGUCAAAUAUCAUCAUUUUGAAAACUAUUUGUUUUAAGUGAAGGCAAUUUUUUUAUAUUGCAGUUUUACUCAAUAUAAUACUUUACUCGAUAUAAUAUCAAUAUUAUUAUUAUUUGCUAUACAUAGUUGUAAUAUUUUUAAAAAUAAUUACAAAUA
Long non-coding RNA from Bactrocera latifrons, 447 nucleotides. RefSeq lists it as uncharacterized. NCBI's taxonomy places the organism in Eukaryota, Metazoa, Arthropoda, Insecta, Diptera, Tephritidae. The record is from RefSeq and is a predicted model, not a curated record. The transcript is spliced from 3 exons.